This is a non-coding RNA of Canis lupus familiaris (dog), 103 nucleotides long. The record is from Rfam. Lineage: Eukaryota; Metazoa; Chordata; Mammalia; Carnivora; Canidae.
AGGAACAAUCGCUGUGGCGGCGGCCAGCUCUGGAGCCCUGGAUUCAGCCCCUGCAGUAACCCCGGAGCUCUCCGUCUGCAGGGCCUGGAGGAUCCCUGGCGGG